UGAAUAGAUAGGGAGGGAAGUCUAGU
Molecule: non-coding RNA, 26 nt
Filed under: Mus musculus (house mouse)
Lineage: Eukaryota; Metazoa; Chordata; Mammalia; Rodentia; Muridae
Source: RNAcentral